This 31-nucleotide ribosomal RNA is filed under the name Rhapidophyllum hystrix (needle palm). Its description in RNAcentral is "partial 26S ribosomal RNA". Lineage: Eukaryota; Viridiplantae; Streptophyta; Magnoliopsida; Arecales; Arecaceae. The record is from RNAcentral.
GCGACCCCAGGUCAGGCGGGGCCACCCGCCG